CCGCCUCCUGCCCCUUCCAACUGCUAGAGAACACCACAACCUUCUUCUACUUUUUAAAAAUCAUUUGUAAUUCUUCACCAGAAGUUGAACCAUUACUACCGUUCUUAUUAGAACCAUCAGUAGGAUCCAAAUGAUGAAAUAGAUUGUAGAAGUUGGUGAUUAUAUUUUAGAAAAUUGUGGUUAUAGCUGAUAAAGGAAUUCAGUAGCUUUCUACAACUUUCAGUUUCAAUGUUCUUAAGGGCAAGUGUAAACCCAGCUUAAAUUGAGAAAGUAUAUAAAGGGCAGCAACACAAAGGCUCUCAAAUUAAUCUGUGUUACUCUGGCUUAUUCACCAAUAUCUCGUAUUCUGAGUGCCAUGGAAGAGACAGUAGCAAUCCUUCAGAGACACUCCCUUCAAGAGGGUACGAUGAUGUAAAAACUCCACAUUGAUAGAUUGUCAAAUUUUAAAUGAUUUUCUUCUUUUUAGACUACCGGUGCAACAUUAUUUAUUUGAGUAGGAAUAUGAAGGGGCUCUUUCAGAAUCUAGGUGAGAACUUCAAUGUUGCGUUUCCUACUGAGAGUCUUGAUGGGAGCGCACGCUCUUAACAUGGAAAAUGCCUUGAAGAUACAAUAAAGGGGGCAUGUUCAUCGCCAGCAUAUACCUCCAAUAGGCAUCAAGUUACUUCUUGAAGAAAAACAAACAAGGGUUCAGUAAGUGCAAAACAUCAGCUUCUGUUUAGUGCUACAAAUAUUUUUGUAUAGAUCUUAAUUGCAUAUCCAGAACUUUGAGUUUACUGUGCGAAGGGACUAAUACUUCUCCAUUUUCUUUGUUUUUUCUGUGGUGUGCUUUACUUGAAUGCUUCUCCUGCAACUUGGCUAUACUGCGUUCUGCCGUGAGGUUUUUUAAUCACAUUGGAUGCUGUGUUCUUUUAGAUGCUGCACUGUUUAUAUAUAUUAUAUAUGGAUUUAAAAUUCCAUUUUUGUUAGAUGGUGUACUGAAACAAGAUAAAUUUGUAUUACAGUAGUUGUUGAGGUUUUUCUUACCUAUUCUAAAAUUAAAAUGGUUUUUACUUAUACUUUUAUUUCUUCUGGAUGUUAUGUGUUGAAGACCAUGAAGAAACUAUGUAUCUGACACUGGUCCGUUUAGUUGCUCAGCUUAUUGCUGCUGGUGGCUUCACUUGCGGCUGGUUUUGAUGUGUCCCUUACUCAUCUGAGUGUCUUCCUUUAUAUAUUUGCCGAUUUCGAUUUUCAAAACUGAAAUUUCAUGUUUUCUACCAUAGUGGAUCUAAGAUUACUACAAUAUGCUAAGUAUCUAUCUCUUUGGUUGUCCUGUCUAGUUGUUAAUAAAGUAAUAGAGGAUGAAGGUGAUGAAUAUAGCACGUACUUAGGGCAGGUUGUCCUGUCUAGUUGUUUCUCCUGGUGCAGCUUAAAUAUAGCUGUGUCGAGCUUCUGGAUAGGUUUUCUGAUUUGCAUAGUGUGCCAUGUGUUUUAAAUUCUUGCAUUCCCUUUUAUGGGUAAAACAUAGUUCCUGCAGUAGUUUUCAUCUGCUGGACUUUUAGCAGUGGGUAGGCAUAUAAAGUUUGCAUGUAUUUUACACAAUGCUAAGUAUCUAAUCUCUUUGAUUCUGUAGUUCUUAAUAAAGUAAUAGAGUGAUGAAGGUGAUGAAUUAAGCAGGUACUUAAGACAGGUUUUCCUGUCUAGUUGUUUCUCCUGGUGCAGCUUAAAUGUAGCUGUGCUGAGCUUCUAGAUGGGUCUGUAUGACUUUUCAACAAACCGCUUUCUGAUUCUCUCUCUAUACUUGUUUAGAUUCACCACUUUCUUCUAUGUAGUUAGUUUGCCAUGUGUUUUAACUCUUGCAGUCCCUUUUGUUUCAUGGGUAAAACAUAGUUCUAGCAGUAGUUUUCAUCUGCUGGACUUUUAGCAGUGCCCAGGCGUAUAAAAUUUGCACGUAUUAUUGUUUUUGCAAUAUUAAAGACCCAUCUAGAAUCUUGAUCUUUUGUUAAUCAGGCAUGUUAAUUUCUGCCAAUGAAUCUUGAUCUUUUGUUAAUUUCCGUUGUGGUUUUGUGCUGGAUAUAUCUAUAUUGUGCUCAUGACAAAAAUCACCUCAUGACAAAAAAAAUUGGUGAUUGCUGCUCUCCGGGAGUCAUCUAUGCUUGUUGUAAGUUCCGAUGGGAAGAUGUAAAAUGAGCUCGUCCUUUGGCUGUUAUAGAUGUCAAGCAGGCACAUGUAAUUUUUAUUUGAAUCCAGCCAGAACCACUUCUUCUGCAAUUUGGUGGAGCAGGUCAAUAUAUCUCUGGCCAUUCUAGAAAUUUCGGCUGGCUGAGUGAAUCUAGUGUUCUUUCCUUCAGUUUAUUGUUCCACAGCACCGUUUUUGAUUCAUCUUAGGCAACCAGCCAAGCAACAUCAAUGUGGAAGAGCUACUCGAAGACAUAGAGAAGAUUACCCUUGCAAGCCAUUUGGUUUGGGGCUUGGGGCUUAUAUGGGGAAUAAUCAAUGACAGAUUUUUUUUUUUUUUUUUGGAAUAACUGUAAGACUGGUUGGGAAGUGUCUAGUAUGUAGGUUCGUUUAGACAAUAGGCCAAUGGAGGGGUUAACUGAGGCUAUAGUCCUUCCUUCAAUUUGGCCAGAUUUUUUAUUUUCCUUUUAGUAUAACUAGAUUUGUGCCUGUGAACUCUAGCUUAUAAAAGAAAAACGAAUAACCUCUUCGUUUA
Papaver somniferum (opium poppy) is the source of this 2689-nucleotide long non-coding RNA. RefSeq lists it as uncharacterized. The record is from RefSeq and is a predicted model, not a curated record. The transcript has 9 exons. Lineage: Eukaryota; Viridiplantae; Streptophyta; Magnoliopsida; Ranunculales; Papaveraceae.